Non-coding RNA from Coturnix japonica (Japanese quail), 440 nucleotides. NCBI's taxonomy places the organism in Eukaryota, Metazoa, Chordata, Aves, Galliformes, Phasianidae. The record is from RefSeq and is a predicted model, not a curated record.
CAGUUGAUCAUAGCCCAAACCUCUGAUUAACCAUCUGAGGCAACUGAUGAGUCAACUGCAGGAGCACAGGUGAAGGUAAUUCAGCUGUGCUCCUGGAAGGGGUGGAACUUGACUCCACCUCUCCUAGAUCCCAUUUAAGGACUGACCACCACUAAGACAGCAUCUCUGGAGUCUGCUUCUCUGUGGAGUUUUUGUGAUGAGAUUUGACAUUGGUGACAACACAACUGCCUUAGAGAUUUUGCCAAAAUGGAAAUGUAUCCUGUUGCCUUUGGCUUAGAAGGACUCCACAGAAAUCAAGAUGAGAUGUGGAAUAGAACUUGCAAGUUCAACUUGAUGGCUGAAUCCUGUCUAUGAGUAUAGGAAAUAAAUGUGACUUGUGAGCAACCGAAUGGGAGCUGCUGAGUCCUGGCCUGAACCACUGAUUGAGCACCUGUGGAAAG